This 492-nucleotide ribosomal RNA is filed under the name uncultured bacterium. Its description in RNAcentral is "partial 16S ribosomal RNA". It matches the Rfam family "Bacterial small subunit ribosomal RNA", at positions 29 to 507 of the family's 1533-position model. The record is from RNAcentral.
AGUGAACGCUGGCGGUAGGCCUAACACAUGCAAGUCGAACGGCAGCACAGUAAGAGCUUGCUCUUACGGGUGGCGAGUGGCGGACGGGUGAGGAAUACAUCGGAAUCUACUUUUUCGUGGGGGAUAACGUAGGGAAACUUACGCUAAUACCGCAUACGACCUACGGGUGAAAGCAGGGGAUCUUCGGACCUUGCGCGAUUGAUUGAGCCGAUGCCGGAUUAGCUAGUUGGCGGGGUAAAGGCCCACCAAGGCGACGAUCCGUAGCUGGUCUGAGAGGAUGAUCAGCCACACUGGAACUGAGACACGGUCCAGACUCCUACGGGAGGCAGCAGUGGGGAAUAUUGGACAAUGGGCGCAAGCCUGAUCCAGCCAUACCGCGUGGGUGAAGAAGGCCUUCGGGUUGUAAAGCCCUUUUGUUGGGAAAGAAAAGCAGCAGGUUAAUACCCCGCUGUUCUGACGGUACCCAAAGAAUAAGCACCGGCUAACUUCGUG